Non-coding RNA from Xylaria sp. CBS 124048, 110 nucleotides. The record is from the annotation of a GenBank genome assembly. Lineage: Eukaryota; Fungi; Ascomycota; Sordariomycetes; Xylariales; Xylariaceae.
UCCGAAUUGGUGUAGUGGCUAACAUUUGACGCUCUCAUUCGUUUCGUUUACUUUAAAAAGCGUUAUGGAAGUGUGCCGUCAAGCCCGGGGUUCGAUUCCCCGAUUCGGAG